CCUGGGAUAACUUCCGGAAACGGAUGCUAAUACCGGAUACAUCAUUUUCUGGCAUCGGAGAAUGAGGAAAGACGGCGCAAGCUGUCACUGAGAGAUGGGCCUGCGGCGCAUUAGCUAGUUGGUGGGGUAAUGGCUCACCAAGGCGACGAUGCGUAGCCGACCUGAGAGGGUGAACGGCCACACUGGGA
RNAcentral lists this ribosomal RNA (188 nucleotides) under Saccharibacillus sp. WB 17. Its description in RNAcentral is "partial 16S ribosomal RNA". It matches the Rfam family "Bacterial small subunit ribosomal RNA", at positions 137 to 318 of the family's 1533-position model. The record is from RNAcentral. Lineage: Bacteria; Bacillati; Bacillota; Bacilli; Caryophanales; Paenibacillaceae.